Molecule: ribosomal RNA, 557 nt
Filed under: uncultured bacterium
Lineage: Bacteria
Description: partial 16S ribosomal RNA
Rfam family: Bacterial small subunit ribosomal RNA
Source: RNAcentral
UGGGGAAUUUUGGACAAUGGGGGAAACCCCUGAUCCAGCCAUCCCGCGUGUGCGAUGAAGGCCUUCGGGUUGUAAAGCACUUUUGGCAGGAAAGAAACGUCGCGGGUUAAUACCCCGCGAAACUGACGGUACCUGCAGAAUAAGCACCGGCUAACUACGUGCCAGCAGCCGCGGUAAUACGUAGGGUGCAAGCGUUAAUCGGAAUUACUGGGCGUAAAGCGUGCGCAGGCGGUUCGGAAAGAAAGAUGUGAAAUCCCAGAGCUUAACUUUGGAACUGCAUUUUUAACUACCGGGCUAGAGUGUGUCAGAGGGAGGUGGAAUUCCGCGUGUAGCAGUGAAAUGCGUAGAUAUGCGGAGGAACACCGAUGGCGAAGGCAGCCUCCUGGGAUAACACUGACGCUCAUGCACGAAAGCGUGGGGAGCAAACAGGAUUAGAUACCCCUGGUAGUCCACGCCCCUAAACGAUGUCAACUAGCUGUUGGGGCCUUCGGGCCUUGGUAGCGCAGCUAACGCGUGAAGUUGACCGCCUGGGGGAGUACGGUCGCAAGAUUAAACUC